Molecule: non-coding RNA, 1181 nt
Organism: Alexandromys fortis (reed vole)
Lineage: Eukaryota; Metazoa; Chordata; Mammalia; Rodentia; Cricetidae
Source: the annotation of a RefSeq genome assembly
GCAACGGUAGGGAUCAUGUCCCUGUGCAACGUUUUUGCUGUCUGGGGUCAGGCGACCCUAGUCACCGUCUCCUCGGCCUCAACAACAGCCCCAUCUGUCUAUCCACUGGCUCCUGCAUGUGGAGGCACAACUGGCUCCACAGUGACCCUGGGAUGCCUGGUCAAAGGCUUUUUCCCUGAGCCGGCAACCGUAACCUGGAACUCUGGAAGCCUGACCAGCGGCGUGCACAUCUUCCCAGCAGUCCUGGAUUCUGGGCUCUACUCCCUCAGCAGCUCAGUGACUGUGCCCUCCAGCAUGUGGCCCAGUCAGACCGUCACCUGCAAUGUCGCCCACCCGGCCAGCAGCACCAAGGUGGACAAGAAAAUUGAGCGCAGAGAACAUGGACAGGUACCUGAUCUGUGUCCUAAGUGUGAGAAGUGUCCAGCUCCUGAUCUCUUGGGUGGACCAUCCGCCUUCAUCUUCCCCCCAAAGCCCAAGGAUGUGCUCAUGAUGUCCAGGGAGCCCAAGAUUACAUGUGUGGUGGUGGACGUGAGUGAGGAAGAACCAGAUGUCCAGUUCAGCUGGUUUGUGAACAAUAAAGAAGAGAAAACAGCUCAGACACAGCCCCGUGAGCCGCAGUACAACAGUACCUUCCGUGUGGUCAGUGUCCUCCCCAUCAAGCACAAUGACUGGAUGAGUGGCAAGGAGUUCAAAUGCAAGGUCAACAACAAAGCCCUCCCAAGCCCCAUUGAGAAAACCAUCUCAAAACCCAAAGGGCAAGUCCGAAUGCCACAGGUCUAUACCUUUCCUCCACCUGCGGAGCAGAUGACCAAGAAAGAGGUCAGUGUGACCUGCUUGGUCAUAGGCUUUCUCCCUGAGGACAUCCAUGUAGAGUGGCAGAGCAACGGGAAGGAAGAGCAGAACUACAGGAACACCCCACCUGUCUUGGACUCUGAAGGCUCUUACUUCAUGUACAGCAAGCUCACUGUGCCAAAGAGCAGGUGGGAUGGGGGAGAUAGCUUCACCUGCUUCGUGCUACAUGAGGCUCUGCACAGCCGCCAGACGACGAAGUCCAUCUCCCGGUCUCAGGGUAAAUGAGCUCAGCACCCGGAAAGCUCUUAGGUCCUGAGGGACACUGGCACCCUUCUCCACCCUUCCCUUAUAUAAAUAAAGCACCCAGUACUACCCUGGGACCCUCUGAA